Callorhinus ursinus (northern fur seal) is the source of this 102-nucleotide small nuclear RNA. NCBI's taxonomy places the organism in Eukaryota, Metazoa, Chordata, Mammalia, Carnivora, Otariidae. The record is from RefSeq and is a predicted model, not a curated record.
GUUUGCUUUGGCAGUACAUACACUAAAGUUGGAAUGACACAGAGGUUAGCAUGGCCCCUGCACAAGGAUGGCAAGCAAAUUUGUGAAGUGUUCCAUAUUUUU